This 251-nucleotide ribosomal RNA is filed under the name uncultured prokaryote. Its description in RNAcentral is "partial 16S rRNA". It matches the Rfam family "Bacterial small subunit ribosomal RNA", at positions 525 to 775 of the family's 1533-position model. The record is from RNAcentral.
ACAGAGGGGGCAAGCGUUAUUCGGAAUUAUUGGGCGUAAAGGGCGCGUAGGCGGUUUUGUAAGUCGGAUGGGAAAUCUCCGAGCUCAACUUGGGAACUGCAUCCUAGACUGCAGGACUGGAGUGCUGGAGAGGGUGGUAGAAUUCCACGUGUAGCGGUGAAAUGCGUAGAGAUGUGGAGGAAUACCAGUGGCGAAGGCGGCCACCUGGACAGUAACUGACGCUGAGGCGCGAAAGUGUGGGUAGCAAACAG